UCCGCAGAACCCGAGCACGGUGCACGGGCCUGGCUGUUAACCAGAGACUAGCUGAGUUCGAUUCUCAGAUGCGGAGCCA
This 79-nucleotide transfer RNA is filed under the name Burkholderia pseudomallei. RNAcentral describes it as "tRNA-Asn(gtt)". Lineage: Bacteria; Pseudomonadati; Pseudomonadota; Betaproteobacteria; Burkholderiales; Burkholderiaceae. The record is from RNAcentral. RNAcentral also lists the same sequence under 1 other name.